GACGAACGCUGGCGGCGUGCCUAACACAUGCAAGUUGAGCGCUGAAGGAUGGUACUUGUACCCACUGGAUGAGCAGCGAACGGGCGAGUAACGCGUGGGGCAUCUGCCUUUUCUCGGGGGACAACAUUUGGAAACGAAUUCCACUACCACAUCAAACCUUCAAACACAAGUUUCAAGUUUGAAACAUGCCAUUCCAUCACUCAUAGACCAACCCGCGUUGGAUUAGCUAGUUGGUGAGGUAAAGGCUCACCAAGGCGAUGAUACAUAGCCGACCUGAGAGGGUGGUCGGCCACAUUGGGACUGAGACACGGCCCAAACUCCUACGGGAGGCAGCAGUAGGGAAUCUUCGGCAAUGGACGAAAGUCUGACCGAGCAACGCCGCGUGAGUGAAGAAGGUUUUCGGAUCGUAAAACUCUGUUGGUAGAGAAGAACGUGGGUGAGGGUGGAAAGCUCAUCAAGUGACGGUAACUACCCAGAAAGGGACGGCUAACUACGUG
RNAcentral lists this ribosomal RNA (497 nucleotides) under uncultured bacterium. RNAcentral's name for it is "partial 16S ribosomal RNA". It matches the Rfam family "Bacterial small subunit ribosomal RNA", at positions 28 to 507 of the family's 1533-position model. The record is from RNAcentral.